UGAAAUAAACAAAAAAAAACCCACCACUCACUGACUCACCUCACCGUCACCUCUCCCUCACCUCACACACAUCAAACGCCUCACCACUCCUCACCUCACACACGCCUCACCACGGCCAUCAACGGCGGCGGCUGAAGGAGUUCCUAGGCAACGAUCAACGGCGGCACAAGGACGGGCUGAUCUCCGCCGUCGGCAACGAUCAACGAAGGCAAAAGGAUGGGCUGAUGUUCUUCGUUGACAAUGAUCAACGGCGGCACAAGCACAGCCCCGUUCCUCGCGCAAUCCAUCUCCAACACUAGAAUAGCUGUCGUCAAGGGCUUCGGUGGGACGCCACAGCUAUUGCUCAACCACCUCUGCCCUGCUACUGUACCAUCAUCUCCUCACCACACGACAUCAGAACUAUUGUUCUAGUUUCGCCUCACAUUCUCUUUACAACC
Molecule: long non-coding RNA, 437 nt
Filed under: Citrus maxima (pomelo)
Lineage: Eukaryota; Viridiplantae; Streptophyta; Magnoliopsida; Sapindales; Rutaceae
Description: long non-coding RNA (CMAX_LNC000811)
Source: RNAcentral